This 393-nucleotide ribosomal RNA is filed under the name uncultured eukaryote. RNAcentral describes it as "partial 18S ribosomal RNA". It matches the Rfam family "Eukaryotic small subunit ribosomal RNA", at positions 592 to 976 of the family's 1831-position model. The record is from RNAcentral.
CAAUAGCGUAUAUUAAAGUUGUUGCAGUUAAAAAGCUCGUAGUUGGAUUUUGGGAUUUUGGUGGGUCCGGUCUGCCGGGAUGGUGUGUACUGAUCCGCCAGUCCUUCCUUCCAGUUUGCUACCGUGUGCUCUUAACUGAGUGUGCGGGUUUCAGCUCUGGAUCGUUUACUUUGAAAAAAUUAGAGUGUUCAAAGCAGGUACUUUUGCGCCUUGAAUACAUUAGCAUGGGAUAAUAGAAUAGGACUUUGCUUCUAUUUUGUUGGUUUCUAGAAGACAGAGUAAUGAUUAAUAGAGAUAGUUGGGGGUAUUCAUAUUUAAUUGUCAGAGGUGAAAUUCUUGGAUUUAUGAAAGAUGAACUUCUGCGAAAGCAUUUAUCAAGGAUGUUUNCAUUAA